AUGAGCAGGAGCAAGCCGCCGCACCAGCAGCCAGAUCGGUCGCUGCCGCCCCCAGAUCCGCCCGUAUUCCUCGCGCCGGCGCCGCGGCCUCGCGUCACCCACAGUCCGCCUGCCCAUUCCGACCAACUCCAGCGCCACCAACCUUUUCCCCUGCGUCGAGGAGUUGCUCGAACCGCCGCCGUCCGCUGCGUGGCUAGGCAGCCCAGCCAGAUCGGCAGCUCGCCUGCGUGGGCUGCGCGGAUGGCCGGACAGGAAGACCAUCCGCAUGUCGCGGCGGCGGCUGCCGUAUCCCGUCUCUCCCGCCACGCACGCCACGGCGAGCGUCCUCCAUCCUCCCCCGCGACGCACGACGGCCGGUCAACAACCACCACUGCCCCGCCUCGCCGCGCCGUCUCCGCAGCACUCGCCCCGGCGAACGUCCUCCAACCUCCUGGCGAGCGCCCUCCAUCCUCCCACGCGAGGCACGGCGGCGGCCGUCGAUGGCGCACGACGGAAUGGGCGAAACCGCCGUUGCUGUCGCAGGAGAAAUGGAUAAGACGACGGGAGGACAGCGGGUGGAAUUCAAAUGAGUACAGGGUUUUUUUUGCAAAAUUAAAACGUCAUAUAGAGACCCACUAA
This 618-nucleotide ribosomal RNA is filed under the name Triticum aestivum (bread wheat). RNAcentral describes it as "partial small subunit ribosomal RNA". The record is from RNAcentral. Lineage: Eukaryota; Viridiplantae; Streptophyta; Magnoliopsida; Poales; Poaceae.